Molecule: ribosomal RNA, 1343 nt
Filed under: uncultured bacterium
Lineage: Bacteria
Description: 16S ribosomal RNA
Rfam family: Bacterial small subunit ribosomal RNA
Source: RNAcentral
GACGAACGCUGGCGGCGUGCUUAACACAUGCAAGUCGAACGGAAAGGCCCUGCUUUUGUGGGGUGCUCGAGUGGCGAACGGGUGAGUAACACGUGAGUAACCUGCCCUUGACUUUGGGAUAACUUCAGGAAACUGGGGCUAAUACCGGAUAGGAGCUCCUGCUGCAUGGUGGGGGUUGGAAAGUUUCGGCGGUUGGGGAUGGACUCGCGGCUUAUCAGCUUGUUGGUGGGGUAGUGGCUUACCAAGGCUUUGACGGGUAGCCGGCCUGAGAGGGUGACCGGCCACAUUGGGACUGAGAUACGGCCCAGACUCCUACGGGAGGCAGCAGUGGGGAAUAUUGCACAAUGGGCGGAAGCCUGAUGCAGCAACGCCGCGUGCGGGAUGACGGCCUUCGGGUUGUAAACCGCUUUCGCCUGUGACGAAGCGUGAGUGACGGUAAUGGGUAAAGAAGCACCGGCUAACUACGUGCCAGCAGCCGCGGUGAUACGUAGGGUGCGAGCGUUGUCCGGAUUUAUUGGGCGUAAAGGGCUCGUAGGUGGUUGAUCGCGUCGGAAGUGUAAUCUUGGGGCUUAACCCUGAGCGUGCUUUCGAUACGGGUUGACUUGAGGAAGGUAGGGGAGAAUGGAAUUCCUGGUGGAGCGGUGGAAUGCGCAGAUAUCAGGAGGAACACCAGUGGCGAAGGCGGUUCUCUGGGCCUUUCCUGACGCUGAGGAGCGAAAGCGUGGGGAGCGAACAGGCUUAGAUACCCUGGUAGUCCACGCUGUAAACGGUGGGUACUAGGUGUGGGGUCCAUUCCACGGGUUCCGUGCCGUAGCUAACGCUUUAAGUACCCCGCCUGGGGAGUACGGCCGCAAGGCUAAAACUCAAAGGAAUUGACGGGGCCCCGCACAAGCGGCGGAGCAUGCGGAUUAAUUCGAUGCAACGCGUAGAACCUUACCUGGGUUUGACAUGGAUCGGGAGUGCUCAGAGAUGGGUGUGCCUCUUUUGGGGUCGGUUCACAGGUGGUGCAUGGCUGUCGUCAGCUCGUGUCGUGAGAUGUUGGGUUAAGUCCCGCAACGAGCGCAACCCUUGUUCACUGUUGCCAGCACGUUAUGGUGGGGACUCAGUGGAGACCGCCGGGGUCAACUCGGAGGAAGGUGGGGAUGACGUCAGGUCAUCAUGCCCCUUAUGUCCAGGGCUUCACGCAUGCUACAAUGGCUGGUACAGAGAGUGGCGAGCCUGUGAGGGUGAGCGAAUCUCGGAAAGCCGGUCUCAGUUCGGAUUGGGGUCUGCAACUCGACCUCAUGAAGUCGGAGUCGCUAGUAAUCGCAGAUCAGCAACGCUGCGGUGAAUACGUUCCCGGG